Molecule: ribosomal RNA, 294 nt
Filed under: Escherichia coli
Lineage: Bacteria; Pseudomonadati; Pseudomonadota; Gammaproteobacteria; Enterobacterales; Enterobacteriaceae
Description: partial 23S ribosomal RNA
Rfam family: Bacterial large subunit ribosomal RNA
Source: RNAcentral
CCAGACAGCCAGGAUGUUGGCUUAGAAGCAGCCAUCAUUUAAAGAAAGCGUAAUAGCUCACUGGUCGAGUCGGCCUGCGCGGAAGAUGUAACGGGGCUAAACCAUGCACCGAAGCUGCGGCAGCGACACUGUGUGUUGUUGGGUAGGGGAGCGUUCUGUAAGCCUGCGAAGGUGUACUGUGAGGUAUGCUGGAGGUAUCAGAAGUGCGAAUGCUGACAUAAGUAACGAUAAAGCGGGUGAAAAGCCCGCUCGCCGGAAGACCAAGGGUUCCUGUCCAACGUUAAUCGGGGCAGG